GGUUAAAAUACAGUGUUACUAAGAGAUCUAUGUAUAGCACCGACAAACUGUUUGCGUAUGCAGUGAUUGUAAUAUGUAAGACAUGAUAUGUAUCGGAAUUCCAUAAAUAUGCUUUCUGUGUUGGUGUUGGUGUUGGUGUUACCGAAUCAUGUGACAACAGUUUCGCACUUCGAAUGGAAAAAUACAACAAAUCCAGUCAUCACUACUGCACAUAAAAGAAUUGCCCUGGAGUGGAA
Patella vulgata (common limpet) is the source of this 236-nucleotide long non-coding RNA. RefSeq lists it as uncharacterized. NCBI's taxonomy places the organism in Eukaryota, Metazoa, Mollusca, Gastropoda, Patellidae. The record is from RefSeq and is a predicted model, not a curated record. The transcript has 3 exons.